Molecule: non-coding RNA, 45 nt
Filed under: Trichobilharzia regenti
Lineage: Eukaryota; Metazoa; Platyhelminthes; Trematoda; Strigeidida; Schistosomatidae
Source: RNAcentral
AUCCAAUUGAUGAGUCCAAAAUAAGACGAACUGCGCAUCCUGGAU